Molecule: transfer RNA, 72 nt
Filed under: Stegodyphus mimosarum
Lineage: Eukaryota; Metazoa; Arthropoda; Arachnida; Araneae; Eresidae
Rfam family: tRNA
About the family: Transfer RNA (tRNA) molecules are approximately 80 nucleotides in length. Their secondary structure includes four short double-helical elements and three loops (D, anti-codon, and T loops). Further hydrogen bonds mediate the characteristic L-shaped molecular structure. tRNAs have two regions of fundamental functional importance: the anti-codon, which is responsible for specific mRNA codon recognition, and the 3' end, to which the tRNAs corresponding amino acid is attached (by aminoacyl-tRNA synthetases). tRNAs cope with the degeneracy of the genetic code in two manners: having more than one tRNA (with a specific anti-codon) for a particular amino acid; and 'wobble' base-pairing, i.e. permitting non-standard base-pairing at the 3rd anti-codon position.
Source: Rfam by way of RNAcentral
GCCUUCAUGGUGUAACGGUUAACACACUAGGCGCGUAUUCGAGUGGCUCAGGUUCGAGUCCCGGCGAGGGCA